AUUGAACGCUGGCGGCAUGCCUUACACAUGCAAGUCGAACGGCAGCACGGGAGCAAUCCUGGUGGCGAGUGGCGAACGGGUGAGUAAUAUAUCGGAACGUGCCCGGUCGUGGGGGAUAACGUAGCGAAAGCUACGCUAAUACCGCAUACGAUCUACGGAUGAAAGCGGGGGAUCGCAAGACCUCGCGCGAUUGGAGCGGCCGAUAUCAGAUUAGGUAGUUGGUGAGGUAAAGGCUCACCAAGCCGACGAUCUGUAGCUGGUCUGAGAGGACGACCAGCCACACUGGGACUGAGACACGGCCCAGACUCCUACGGGAGGCAGCAGUGGGGAAUUUUGGACAAUGGGCGCAAGCCUGAUCCAGCAAUGCCGCGUGCAGGAUGAAGGCCUUCGG
This 391-nucleotide ribosomal RNA is filed under the name uncultured bacterium. Its description in RNAcentral is "bacterial SSU rRNA". It matches the Rfam family "Bacterial small subunit ribosomal RNA", at positions 29 to 421 of the family's 1533-position model. The record is from RNAcentral.